UACGUAGGGUGCGAGCGUUAAUCGGAAUUACUGGGCGUAAAGCGUGCGCAGGCGGUUGUGCAAGACAGAUGUGAAAUCCCCGGGCUUAACCUGGGAACUGCAUUUGUGACUGUAUAGCUAGAGUACGGUAGAGGGGGAUGGAAUUCCGCGUGUAGCAGUGAAAUGCGUAGAUAUGCGGAGGAACACCGAUGGCGAAGGCAAUCCCCUGGACCUGUACUGACGCUGAGACGCGAAAGCGUGGGGAGCGAACAGG
Molecule: ribosomal RNA, 253 nt
Filed under: uncultured bacterium
Lineage: Bacteria
Description: partial 16S ribosomal RNA
Rfam family: Bacterial small subunit ribosomal RNA
Source: RNAcentral